RNAcentral lists this long non-coding RNA (299 nucleotides) under Manihot esculenta (cassava). RNAcentral's name for it is "long non-coding RNA (MESC_LNC009009)". Lineage: Eukaryota; Viridiplantae; Streptophyta; Magnoliopsida; Malpighiales; Euphorbiaceae. The record is from RNAcentral.
ACGUCAGGAAACCCUAAGCACCUCCCGAAAGUGACUCGUUCCCGACUCGCUAAUCACACUGUCUACUUUAUUUCUGAAUAUGUCCGUUUCUUUAUUUGAGUUUUCUAUAAUUCAGUUAUUAGCAGAUUAGAGUUAUGCUAGUACCUCCCCUAAGUAGCUCGGGGUAAGCUAGCACCUCCCCUAAGUAGCUCGGGGUAAGCUAGCACCUCCCCUAAUGCCACUUACUUUAGUAGUGAAAUAGCCUAACCCAUACCUAGUGAUGUCACUGCUCUAGCUAUGGGUUUGAGGAUGUUACACAC